GAUGAACGCUGGCGGCGUGCUUAACACAUGCAAGUCGAACGGAAAGGCCCAAGCUUGCUUGGGUACUCGAGUGGCGAACGGGUGAGUAACACGUGGGUGAUCUGCCCUGCACUUCGGGAUAAGCCUGGGAAACUGGGUCUAAUACCGGAUAGGACCACUUCUUGGAUGUUGUGGUGGAAAGUUUUUUCGGUGUGGGAUGAGCUCGCGGCCUAUCAGCUUGUUGGUGGGGUAAUGGCCUACCAAGGCGUCGACGGGUAGCCGGCCUGAAAGGGUGUACGGCCACAUUGGGACUGAGAUACGGCCCAGACUCCUACGGGAGGCAGCAGUGGGGAAUAUUGCACAAUGGGCGCAAGCCUGAUGCAGCGACGCCGCGUGGGGGAUGACGGCCUUCGGGUUGUAAACUCCUUUCGCUAGGGACGAAGCGUUUUGUGACGGUACCUGGAGAAGAAGCACCGGCUAACUACGUG
RNAcentral lists this ribosomal RNA (467 nucleotides) under uncultured bacterium. RNAcentral's name for it is "partial 16S ribosomal RNA". It matches the Rfam family "Bacterial small subunit ribosomal RNA", at positions 28 to 507 of the family's 1533-position model. The record is from RNAcentral.